UGGGGAAUCUUGGACAAUGGGCGCAAGCCUGAUCCAGCCAUGCCGCGUGGAUGAUGAAGGCCUUAGGGUUGUAAAAUCCUUUCGUUGGGGACGAUAAUGACGGUACCCAAAGAAGAAGCUCCGGCUAACUUCGUGCCAGCAGCCGCGGUAAUACGAAGGGGGCUAGCGUUGUUCGGAUUUACUGGGCGUAAAGCGCGUGUAGGCGGAUUUGUAAGUUGGGGGUGAAAUCCCGAGGCUCAACCUCGGAACUGCCUCCAAAACUACAAGUCUGGACCUAAGUAGAGGCAAGUGGAAUUGCGAGUGUAGAGGUGAAAUUCGUAGAUAUUCGCAGGAACACCAGUGGCGAAGGCGACUUGCUGGACUUAUGGUGACGCUGAGACGCGAAAGCGUGGGGAGCAAACAGGAUUAGAUACCCCCGUAGUCCCUGAGCGGGCUGGCAAGGCG
Molecule: ribosomal RNA, 444 nt
Filed under: uncultured bacterium
Lineage: Bacteria
Description: bacterial SSU rRNA
Rfam family: Bacterial small subunit ribosomal RNA
Source: RNAcentral